RNAcentral lists this ribosomal RNA (277 nucleotides) under uncultured bacterium. RNAcentral's name for it is "partial 16S ribosomal RNA". It matches the Rfam family "Bacterial small subunit ribosomal RNA", at positions 28 to 298 of the family's 1533-position model. The record is from RNAcentral.
GACGAACGCUGGCGGCGUGCUUAACACAUGCAAGUGGUGCGACGAACCAGGCUUCGGCCUGGGGCAAAGCCGCGAACGGGUGAGUAACACGUGAGUAAUCUGCCCCGAUGACCGGGACAACCCGAGGAAACUCGGGCUAAUACCGGAUGAUGAGCCUCGGCGUAAGCCUUGUCUCUAAAGGAAGCUUCGGCCUCCGCAUUGGGAGGAGCUCGCGGCCCAUUAGCUUGUUGGUGGGGUAACGGCCUACCAAGGCAACGAUGGGUAGCUGGUCUGAGAG